Molecule: long non-coding RNA, 3717 nt
Organism: Homarus americanus (American lobster)
Lineage: Eukaryota; Metazoa; Arthropoda; Malacostraca; Decapoda; Nephropidae
Exons: 2
Source: RefSeq, a predicted model, not a curated record
AUGUAUCUGUAUAUGUAUUUAUGUAUAUUUCCUUAUAUAACCCAAAAGUAUAUCAUAUUAAGAUAUUUUUAUAUUUCUGUUUACAAUAAUUAAAGGCAGGUCCGUCCCUUGGGUAGGGUGAACUGGCUUAAGCACCCCAGAACCCAGAGUCAUGGUCAACCUUACUCAACACCCAGACUCUUGACAAUGAGGUCGUUCUUGGUUGUGCUCCAGUCAAAAGGACGUUGACAUUUGUCGUUGAAACUUUGGAAUCUCCGUUUAUCUGGGUUUUGUUUGAUGCGUGUUCUUUGUUUUGUGUUUAAUGUAUACAACCCAUUAUUUAUUAUACCAUGGCUAGCAGGGACAGGCAAAUAGAGAAAAUGCAGCUCAGUGGGCAGAGAAAAGUCCAUUAAAAAAGGAAUUGUAGCCAGAUGUGGUCACCGAACACAAUUUAGGACUGAUAUAAAAGUUUCUGCAGAAGUAUAGACACUGGAUUUACCUCCACCAAGAUGAUAAAAACAGUAUCCGAGAUGGAUGUAGAACUUGAAUCCAAAGAUCGACGAGUGAUGAGUAAACGAUGACGACUUCCAUCUAUAAGUGAGGAUGCUGAGCCACAAAUCUUGGUGAGGAAAGAUUUGAGAGGAAUAACUAUCUGGUUAUCAUGGAUCAGACACUCGUGCUACUGACAGUACAUGCAAGAGAACGCUGGUAAUUUAAGCUUCCUGUAUGAAUUGAAGAAACUUAGAGAAAUUACAGAGAAUGACUUGAAAUGCAGUUUAUGGCUUUGGACAACUCAUUGAGUGUUGGAGAUUCCCACGACAUUGAUGGUGCAGAUAUAUUUCCUUAAGCUUUGUGUUCUCUAAGGAUUCAUUCCCUAAGGAUAAACAAAACCUGCACUUGAAGAUCCUCAGUUUCUUAUGUGUUUUAAUGCUUCUUUCCUAAACACAGAAAUAGCUGUAAGAUGCUGCUGACAAUUCCAGACACUGGCAUCGGGAAGCCAAGUUUUUCCCUAACUUGGAUUAAUGGAAAAGGUUACCCGGCCUAUAGGGAGAACUACUGCAUGUCUCGGUAGAGGUUGAAAGGCUUGGCUCUCUUCUACAUUAAAAAGGAAUUGGCAAAAAAUUUGGAUCAUCAUUAUGUGAGAGCAGAAUUUGGUCAGAGAAAGAGAGGAAGGUGAAUCAGAAAGUAGGCAACUGUGAGCACUGCUUAGUUUAAACAUGAAACUAAACCUUCUUGUUCAUAUCUAUGAGACUUUAUGGAUAUAAAGUUCACCAAAUUGUCUUAAACACAAGUUCAGAAAAGUAAGAUAAAAAUAUUUAUUUUCCUUAAGAAUAAAAGGUAAUAAAUUACAUAACACAAUGGCAGUCUAAUUUAGUGGUUAUACCCUGUAAUAAGUACAGUGUGUAAGUAAGCAUAAAAAAGGGAAAAAAUAAGCUUUUUUUAUUUCCAUGAAUUAAUGUUAUUCAUGGAAUGCAACUUUUUCUAUUAUAUAAAAUAUAUAAACAUUAGCUAUACAUAAUGCAUAUAAAUGUGUAUUCUUAUACAGUAUAAUUUUUCAAGAAAGUAAAGGAGGUUGACCUGGUAAUACUGACCAAAGGAUGAACCAAUCAAAUCAACCCCCCCAUCAUGACAGACCACCUUCUCUUGCUCUGGUCAAGCUGAAUAUUUAGGCUUUAAUCAACAGUGAAGAUAUUACCUUUAGAGAAAAUGUUCUUAAUAUGAGGGACAUUUUUCUCUCCAGUUUGUAUUGCUUAGGUUGUAAAAGGACUUGUGUAUCAUCACUUAUAAGAGGGUCAUGGCCGGCAUAUAGGACAAGGGGGUGAGGGUGUUACUGUGGGUAGUUUAGUUAUUACUGCCUAGUUUUAGCUUGGUCUUGAGGGAACAUAUAAUACAUCAGUCAAAAAUGUGGCUAUUUGUUGUGAAGAAGUGGAGUAUGGCACCUUGUGUGUGGGUGUUUGUCCUUCAGUCUUGCUCUCUUGCCAUAUAUAGUUUAUAUUUUCAUGGCUGUGACCUAAACUGUUUAUUUUCUGAGUAAAUUCGUGUAUUUGGUCGGUUAAGCCUCCGUGAAUUAUGGACUUGGUCUAUAAUUAAAAUAUGGGAAGGUGAAAACUUAGUAGAAUUUAGCUCUUCUAAAGCCCAGGACCCCUCCAUUACCUUAAGUCAGAAGUACUGUACGUACUUACUCUUGUACUGGUGCUGUAUACUUGGACUUAAUUAUGGAUUUUAAAUUUAUGGGAGUAAAAAAAAAUUGCACCUUUACUGUAUUUAGGAAUUUUUCCCCCUUUUUAUAAGAUUUUUUAAAAUUGUACUGUACUUAAUUUUAUUUGGUAGGAGACAUUUAAUUAGCCAGUAUUGUAUAUCUGAAGAAUAUGAACAUUACUCAUGUUUCAAGCUGUUUGUAAUGAAUUUGUUUACAAGCCAGCGGCAUAUCUCGAAUCCAGCUCUACACUUCAACAGAACUCUCCAGUAGUUUCUUGCAUCAUCCAAGUGAUUUACCCUAUUUAGAGAUGUUAGGCAAGUGGUCAGCAGGAGUCAUGGUCAGCAGCAGUACCUCUAGUGGAAAAAGACCCCACAAAGCCACCAAUUGAAAAGUUAAGUAAGAGUGAUAGUGACUCGGUGUGUGAACGCUGCCCCAACCCUGAGAGUUUUAACUGAUGACUAUUGCCGGUACUGUAGAGAGCCAUAGUGAGCCACGUAGCAUAUACUGUACCUGGUAAUAUGAAAGAUGAAAAUUAACAGAUUAAUUUCAUGAAGACAAGGAAGCGAAAUUAAGUGCAGUAGAGGACAUUAAAUUCUUGUAAGAUGAACAUUAAUACGAUGAAGCGAAUAAGAUUAACUUGAUACUGAUCCAGCGAACCUUCUUGCUGUGCUGGGCUAGAAACCUCGUGCGGCAGCCAUAAGAAACCUGCAGAUACUUAAAACUGGACACCUGUACUUUAGUUGGUAAAUGGUGUAUAAUACUGUAUAUAAAAUAUGGAUGGUGAGAUGUCUGUAUACUGCUCAACACCAAGGUGGUUUAUUUAGUGUUGUCUACUUGGUCUACAUUUUCAUUUUAUUAUGCCUGCAAAAUAUUUAAGUUGUGUUGUAAAGUGCCAUUUAAUUAUUUAUUGAACUUUUUCUUUUAUUUUAUUUUCAUGAAUUUUUCUCUCAAUUUAAAGAGGUAAUCAUUCAUUUUAUAAUCAGUGGAUAAUAUAAUUCAGUUAAUCAUACAGUACAGUAGUUCAGUUUAGGAUAAGUUUUUCAGGAGUACAACCCUAUACUAAAUCAUGGUAUAUUGUUUGAUAAUGAUACACCUGCUUUUAUUGAUCUUAAUAUGCUUAGUUUAGUUAUAAAGGACUUGUCAUUGGUCACCCACAUUAAUCUCUUUGCUGUAUUGUGUUUGUUCAUUGAAAAUUAUGAUGUUUUUGUCACCCAACCUUCACAUUUUAUUUCUGUUCUCUUGUCAAAGUACAAAGUUGUCAGAUGUGACCUGAAUCCCCAGCUGUUCUGGUACUGGCUUUCCUCUCUAACAAAUAAAUUUACCCUAUUUAUAUGCCUUGAGAUGUCUCUUUGUGUCCCUUAUACCCCAACACCUCUUCCUUGAUCUAAAUGAAGUAGCCUUUGAUUUCUUUCCCCAGAAGAGCUCAUUUACAACCAACCAGGCUCCCCUCUCCAGACCCAGCACAGUAUUCUCACCAAGACACAUUUACAAAAAGGGUUUUAGGCAGGAGUCUUGCCUAUAGGUCAAGCCAUUCUGUG